GACGAACGCUGGCGGCGUGCUUAACGCAUGCAAGUCGAACGAUGAAGUUCCUUCGGGAAUGGAUUAGUGGCGAACGGGUGAGGAACACGUGAGAAACCUGCCUUUCAUUUUGGGAUAACUCCGGGAAACCGGGGCUAACACCGAAUACUCCGUCUCGGCGGCAUCGCUGAGCCGGGAAAAAAUUUUGAUGAAAGAUGGUCUCGCGGCCUAUCAGCUAGUUGGUGAGGUAAUGGCUCACCAAGGCAACGACGGGUAGCCGGCCUGAGAGGGCGACCGGCCACACUGGGACUGGGACACGGCCCAGACUCCUACGGGAGGCAGCAGUGGGGAAUAUUGGGCAAUGGGCGCAAGCCUGACCCAGCGACGCCGCGUGAGGGAUGAAGGCCUUCGGGUUGUAAACCUCUUUCAGUAGGGAGGAAGCGAAAGUGACGGUACCUAAAGAAGAAGCACCGGCUAACUAUGUGCCAGCAACCGCGGUAA
RNAcentral lists this ribosomal RNA (480 nucleotides) under uncultured bacterium. Its description in RNAcentral is "partial 16S ribosomal RNA". It matches the Rfam family "Bacterial small subunit ribosomal RNA", at positions 28 to 523 of the family's 1533-position model. The record is from RNAcentral.